UACGGAGGGUGCAAGCGUUAUCCGGAUUCACUGGGUUUAAAGGGUGCGUAGGUGGGCAAGUAAGUCAGUGGUGAAAUCUCCAGGCUUAACUUGGAAACUGCCAUUGAUACUAUCAGUCUUGAAUACCGUGGAGGUCAGCGGAAUAUGUCAUGUAGCGGUGAAAUGCUUAGAUAUGACAUAGAACACCAAUUGCGAAGGCAGCUGGCUACACGAAUAUUGACACUGAUGCACGAAAGCGUGGGGAUCAAACAGG
RNAcentral lists this ribosomal RNA (253 nucleotides) under uncultured bacterium. RNAcentral's name for it is "partial 16S ribosomal RNA". It matches the Rfam family "Bacterial small subunit ribosomal RNA", at positions 524 to 776 of the family's 1533-position model. The record is from RNAcentral.